UCUUCCGAUAUUGUGAUCACAAUCUCGGAGAAAUCCGGCGACAAAUUUCGAAUCUUUCGGCUAUCCGUCCUGUUUCAGACGUCGGGGAAGGUAUUGUAUUUGUAAGAGGGUUUUUGACUGAUUAAACUGUCAUGAGAUUCAGAAAAGGAAGUGAAGUCGAGGUAUUCAGCAGUGACGGGGCACCUUAUGGUGCUUGGCUACGUGCUGAGAUUAUCUCGGGUAAUGGGCACAUGUACAUGGUUAGGUUUGAUACUUUCCGAUUUGCCAAAGAUGAGGUGGUUGUGGAGAGAUUUCCGAGGAAGAAUAUUAGACCGUGCCCUCCACAAGUGGAAGUAGCCAGAUGGGAAUCUGGUGAAUUGGUGGAGGUUCUUGAAGAUUUUUCCUGGAAAAUUGCCACAGUCCUCAAGGCUCUAGGUGGAAGUUAUUAUCGGGUUCGCUUGCUCGGUGCUUCUGCAGAAUUUGAAGUCCACAAAGUUGACAUCAGGGUUCGACAAUCUUGGCAAGAUGACAGAUGGUUUCUGAUUGGAAAGGUUUCUGGUUCUUUGAAAUCCUCUACACUGACAGGAUCGGAUGUUCAUCAGAAGCCUCAGGCCCUUUUGAACAAUCCUCUUUUGCGGGAGCCUAGGGUUGCCUCUUCUAAAAUGUUAAAGAGGGUGUCACCUUAUUGCUGGUCGGAGUGUGCUGAAUCAUGCACGGGGAACCCCAGGAAGAAACGAUCGGUUGAGAAAGAGGGUGAACAACACCGUUAUCCUUCCUUAUCAUUGCAAAAGGUAGAUGCUGUUGCUUGCCGAUCUGAAAAUUUGGGUAAAAAACGCGCUCAAGGUUCCUUUAAGAAUGACAAAAAUGGUUGCUGUGAAAUGGUCAGGGUAAGAUCAAAUGGGUUGAAUGAGUGUGUUCGUGCAGGAAACACAGAAGCUAAUGGUUAUGAUAGUGAUGCAUGCUCGGUUGGUAGUUGUAGCGUUGUUAGUUAUAACGAGAGUAAUAUGCCAACUUGUAUGCUAGACGGGGCUAAUCAAGAUGCAGAUCCUGCUAGUAGUGAUGCUGAAUCUUCAAGUGGACAUGGAGAAGAAAGACAGAAUUCUUUGGCAGAUGAUGAAGCGGCAGAAAGGUCCCAUCGAUCUGAAUUAUACACUUACCGCAGUACUUUGGGAGAAUUAUUUGCUUCUGGGCCCUUAAGUUGGGAACAAGAAGCAUCACUAACUGAUCUGCGACUGUCCCUUAAUAUAUCAGAUGCUGAACACUUGACGGAGCUAAGAAAUCUAAUAUCUGCUGGUUCCCGCAGUCAUAAUUGUUAGCAUCAAACAUGGUUCACUCUUUUCUUUUCUUUGAUUCUUAUUGUCAAAGUCUUAUCCUUUUUCUUGGCCAUACUUGCCUGCAUCGAAGAAUCAACUGUCAUAUGUGUUCUUUUUACCGAGGAAUUUUAUAUUGAAUGUAUAGACAGCAGAAACUUGCUACCUGAAUAGUAUGUACGGAAACACCAUCUAGAAUGAAAUUGUUCAAGGCAUGUUGCGGUGUUUUUUUUUUCCUUUUACUUUGUCUACUUUUUGUUUAAGUUGUUUUGGUACAUUUUAUCCCAUAUUCUCCAAUUGUAAAAGAUCAAGCAAACGUAUUUUAGCUUCUGAUUGCUGUAUCUGCCAUCUUUCUCCCUUUUAGUGAUGCCUUCACUUGUAGAGUCUGAUCAUUUUGAUAAUGCCGCUUCGGACAUCAAUGAUCUUCUCCUACGUUUUUCAGGAGCAGUGUCGGGGGCCUGCAGACCUUGCUUCUAGAGAACUAACUCUGAUACUGGGGUAAAACGGCUUCCCCUUUGCCGUUUGAAUGGUGCAAUACCGUUCCUGUUCUUCUGCAAAACCAGAUAACUGACGUUAUAUACUGUUUAUUCCUUCUCGCUAUCGAGAUGUUAUGGUUCGUUUCAGGUGUUUCGGACUCAACCUUGUCCACAUGGCUUAGAAGACUGAACUUUGUGCAGGUUCCAGUCUAUGUUUUGCCGAUUUUCUCUAAAAUUCUGGCUAUGUUUUCUUGGGCAUGACUGUGGUUAUUGGCUCUUAGCUUUCUUAACACAUGCUAUGUCGUCGCUUACAGGAAUAGAAAGCUGUACUGUUUCACAUACCUUUGUCUUAUUCUGGGUGUUAUUGCCUGAUGCGUAAGUAUGAAACCAUAGUCGUCCUAGGUUUGUCUUCAUGAUGCUGUGUCCGAUUAAGAAGAGCAUAGAUAUGUUUUCGAUGAUAUGUCUCGAUUCCAUAGAAUGUAGUCAUCUGAUCCUGAUUAUUUUUCAUGGUCUAUAGUUCAUAAAAUCAAAUGGAAAGUGGAAACAUGCACGUCAUGUUUCAUUAGUUUGUGGCACUUGCGUUCUGGUCAUGCUUUGCAUGAACUAUCUUGGCGAGCCAAAGUCUCCAACUCUGGCGACGCUGAAGUUAUUGGACUUUCGGGGUUAUGAAACUCCCGAGCUGAUUACGCUCCAGGUUGUACAAAGGCCGAGAAUUCCUCAGACCACGCAAGUAACUCAAAUGGGUUUAACCGGGGAAUUCAGAAAACCCCAUCAGGAUUCAUAUUGGCAGAAUUGGAAUGGAGUUCUGGAAUGGCGACUGUACGAAUGGUGAUCGUAAAAUGCCUGUGGGAUUCCGUUAGGGUUCUUGGAAGAAUUGAGCAGAUUUUUCAUGGCUUUGAUCGGAGCAGGCUCGGGGGUGAUAAAUCAGGACGCCCGUGGCAGGGAUUUUGGCUUUGUCGAUGUAUAUAGCGACACAGAUGAUCAGAAACUCCAGUUGGGACCAGACGGACCAUUGAUGUUCACGGUUCCAACAGUUGAAAUAUUUCGAACGUUGGUUAAACGCUGUGAUGAAUUCUAGUUUCUAACAUUGGUUAAAAUUUGCAUUUUAUUAUGUCAUGUCAACUAAAUUCGUUUA
RNA transcript from Tarenaya hassleriana, 2900 nucleotides. RefSeq lists it as uncharacterized. The record is from RefSeq and is a predicted model, not a curated record. The transcript is spliced from 4 exons. NCBI's taxonomy places the organism in Eukaryota, Viridiplantae, Streptophyta, Magnoliopsida, Brassicales, Cleomaceae.